This 364-nucleotide ribosomal RNA is filed under the name Asaccus zagrosicus. RNAcentral describes it as "partial 12S ribosomal RNA". It matches the Rfam family "Bacterial small subunit ribosomal RNA", at positions 866 to 1391 of the family's 1533-position model. The record is from RNAcentral. Lineage: Eukaryota; Metazoa; Chordata; Lepidosauria; Squamata; Phyllodactylidae.
CAUCCGCCAGAGAAUUACAAGAGAAAAUCUUAAAACUCAAAGGACUUGACGGUGGCCUGCACCAACCUAGAGGAGCCUGUCUUCUAAUCGAUACUCCACGAUCUACCUCACCACCCCUCGCAACAACAAGCCUAUAUACCGCCGUCGCCAGCCUACUUAAUGAUAAUCAAAAAAUAGGCAAAAUAGUCGUACCACUAGUACGUCAGGUCAAGGUGUAGCUAAUGGGGUGGGAAAUGAUGGGCUACAUUUUCUAUCUACCAGACCAAGCCACAAGCUUUAUGAAACUUAGGCCCAAAGUCGGAUUUAGCAGUAAGCACUGACAAGAUAUGCCUAACUGAAGCCUGCCCCAGGCCACGUACACACC